GAAUGAUCAGGUCUUCAUUUAUGUCAGGAUGAGAUUCUCCUCCUAUUUCCGACACAGUCAAUUUCAGCUCAUGCUAGGAUGAAGUUUUUCUCCUGUUCCUAACAAGAUUGUGGGGGCACGUAAGGGCCGUUGCAAGGGCCUCUCCCCCCAUCCGGUCUCUAAAUAACCGGGCCUUCGACCUUGCUCAUGUUAGGACGAGGUUCUCCUCCUGUUCCUAACAUGGCUGUGGGGGCGCAUAAGGGCCGUUGCAAGAGCCUCUCCCU
RNAcentral lists this long non-coding RNA (263 nucleotides) under Elaeis guineensis (African oil palm). RNAcentral describes it as "long non-coding RNA (EGUI_LNC071844)". Lineage: Eukaryota; Viridiplantae; Streptophyta; Magnoliopsida; Arecales; Arecaceae. The record is from RNAcentral.